CUAAAGCUGUGGAGAUGCUGGGAUACAUUGCACCACCUUCCUUUUACACAAAUCUGCUUGAAGUCAGGUUACUGCUAGAGAUGUGUGUGUCAAGCCUGGAUGAUCUCGAUCCCCAGUAUUUCUGUGCUGCAGUUCCCUGUAGUGCAGGGGGUUCUUUUUUAUGGGUUGCUGUUGCUUUUGAGGCUUGCUGUUGUGCAAGUUCUUCAAGGAAAUCUGGAAGUCUCAGCAGUUAAUGUGGAAUCUUCAAAAGACUUAUUAGAUCUUGUUUAAAUGAAAGAAUUUCUGGUUCUGUAUUUAUUGAACAUGUGCAUGGGUUAGAAAUCUUAUUAUUUUAGUCCAGUCUACAUUGAGUGCUACCUCUUGUCUUUAGUUUUGAUUUUAGAAGGCUGUGUUGUUUUGAAAUGUCAAGCUAAUAAACUCUUCUCAGAGAGAGGCACUUCUUUUCUGUUUUUCAUGGUUUGGAAGAGGAAGCCUUGAAACUGUGGCAGCCGGUCUGUUUUUAAUCAUGGACCAUGUCUACAAUGUGACAUUUAUUCAUAAGUAAAGGAACAGUAUUCAUGUAAAUGCUAGAGAUAAAGAAUUAUUUUUCUUUUAAUUGAGGAAAGAGGUAGGACAAAAAUCACAGGUAUAAUUUUCCUGAGUGUUCUAAGUCCCCUCUUGUCCCUUACUACAUCAUCCGUGAGGAGAGGAGUGCUUGCUGCAGUUUGGGGACUGCUAGACUGGUGGAAGGUGGUAAUUACUGACAAUGACAAAUAACCUUUGUGUGGCUUUCUCACAUAUUAGUUGAUUGUUUCUUUGGUUUAAAUUUUGAGCUUUUCAUGUAAUUUUGCUCUUUUGAAGUGGUUUUAUUGGUUACAAGUCAUUGUAAUACGACUAGUUCAUAUACAUGUUGCUCUUCUUAAGCUUCCAACUGCUGCAGUGUGCUAAGCAUUCAUAACUUCAGAACACAGCUGCUCUUUUCUGGCCUCUGGAAGCUGACUUCAGAUGUUUGGAUGGACUUUACAAUCUUGAUUAAGUUCAACAAGCAGCAAAGGUGCUGUGUGUGGUUUAGUCACAGAACAAGCUGAAUCUACAGGCAUCUGUAUGGAUUUAAUGGGCUGAGUUGCUGUUCAGUGUGUUUUGAUUCAGUUGACUAACUAGUCAGCUAGUUGUUGAUGUUUGCUGAAUCCUUCCUUGGACUUUCCAAGUGGAGACGUUUUCCUGGAAUGCUCGUCUGCUCUAAGUGCGUGAGGGGAAGUAUUCUAAAUCCACUGGAAUUUCCCCUGGGUUUCCAGCAUCCAUCUUGGCUAAUUGGGUCUGAAGAAGGUCUGGAAGCUAUUGUAGGGCUGCUCCUCCUCUCAGCGUGCGGCAGUCCUUGCACAAGAUGUUUACAGGCCCUGUCAGAUCACUACAUGAAGGAAUCUAAUCUGCUUGCCGUUCCCCUUCUGAAGAGCAGCACAUCAAAGAGAGGACAGUAUGUUUGAUGUGUGUGCUUGCCUCGGUGGGUGCAUGUAAUGGAUUAGCAGCAGCUGGAGGAGGAGCCUGCUGCUUCCAAGAGUUAGACAAAAAUAAGUCUCUGGGGAUCUUUGUGUGGAGUCUGUGCUGCAGAGGCUGGUUGAGGGCACAGUGUUGUCUGCCCUAUGAGCAAGAAGCCUGUGUUUCUAUCUCCCACUCUUGCCUGCUUGCAGCUUCAGCAGCUUUAUGGGCUGUUCUCCAUAGAGCAGUUGCAAUUCAGAGACUCAGAGACAUCUUUGAUGGUCAUUAUGAUUCCUCACUGCUUCUUCACUUCACUGCUUCACUGCUGCUUCUUCUAUAUUGGUCAUUCAUUUGGUUCACAUAUUUUCCACACAUUUUUAGAAGACUCUUCAGAGAGUUGCUUGGAUUGAAGUGGAAAGCAGUUUUUGGAAAAGUGAAUGAAACUAGGUUCUCUAAGUCAAACUGGCUUCCUCUCUACUGGUCUUUGGUGAGGACAUGUUCCACUCUACCUAAGACUUUUUUCUCUUAAAUGGUUGUCAUCCACCUUUUCUGACAGACAGCAGCUUGAGGUUCAAGCUUGUAUUCUGUGGCCUGUUCUGUCUGCCUUUUCUGUGCUUCUGCACUGUUUCUCUGUGUCUCAUCAGUCCUUUAUCUUUUGUGCACUGUUAUUGAGGAUUUGUCAAGGGAUACAGGUAAUCUUAAUUGGAAGCAAAACCUAUUGAAAAUAGGGUGGGGAUGAGUAUCUUUUCUGGAUUGUCUGGAGAAGUCUGAGUGCAGUAUCCUGCUAUGGUGUGCUGAAGGCACUCUCUGGUGAUCUUCUGUUCCAAUUCUCCAAUUGAGACAAGAUUUUUUUUUCCGUGCCUUUCAUCAUCAGGCAUUGGCUUUGGGAAUUUCCUCAGGUACUGCUGCCAGAGGAGUGAGGGAGGUUGGAGCCUGGGUCUUAUAUCACAAGACAGUGUUCUUUUGUAUGAGCAGCAUAGUCUCUUGAUUCCUGCAGAGCAUUGUAUAGUGUGUUUUAUUCCUGAAAGAGAAUAAUUAAUUGCAGAAUCACAAAUGGAGGCAAACCUAUUGUAGUGUUGGUUUGGUUGUUCACCUUGAAGUUAACUGUGUUUCAUAAUCUGAAACUUGUAUAUCAUAUUUUGGAUGCUCUGGUGUGUCUGUUGCUUUCUGCACAAUGGGAUUUGUUGUGCUGGCUGGGAAAUGUUCUGAAUAGUGGUCUUACAGUCUUGGUAUUAUCAUUCCCUGGAAUAUUUUGCAACUGGUCUGGAAGCAGUUCUCAGCUGCUGACUUUCCUAAAAUAGACCUGACCCUCAGGACUGGUUUUAUAGUUUGCUCUAUUUGGAUUUGCUCUACCUCUGGGUUUCAUUGUGACGUGCCUUGUCCCAUACCACUGUGCUGUUGCAAGCUUUUAACCAUUUGAUCAAGAUGGCAUAUGGACUGCUACAAUUAAACCAGACAUCUCAGUUGUGGUUUGUGCUUAACAGAUUUAGUCCCUCAAAUCCUUCAACUGGAAACCAUUGAUGUUCUCUGGCUCUUGAGAAUUACUCAAAGAUUGAGUAUCAUAAUUUUCCAAUGGCACUCUCGAUCCUGAGUGGCUUCUGGUUUCACUUAUAUGUCAAUGUAGCUGAGUUUUGAUUCUCAGUUUAAAUGUCCUUGAUGAAAUUUCAUGGAAUUUAAUGGCUAUUUCCCUUAAUUUUCCAUUUCAUAGGCUGGUUGACUCCCUCUCAGUUCAGUUUCUUUUGUCACUUCAUGCUGGGCUAAGUUUGGUUAUGCAGACUCCAGUCUUCUGCUGCGCAAGAAAGGUUGUUAAAGUGAAAAAGGCAUAAAAUGGCAGGCUGACCUUGGGAAUUGCCUCCAGAGGUCUCAGGAGGUGAGCAAGGAUGUGUCAUGUUCCUGGGCUGCCAGGUGGAUUUCCUUAUCUGCUUUGCAGAGAGGUGGUUUCUCUUCAAGUCACAGGUGAUGGGUGGUGAUUUCCUGGUGGGGUGAGUGGAAAGCCAUUCCCUCCACCUACCCCCCAGACUGGACUGUAGAGAGCAGUAAGAUCAAGGGAGUUUACCAUGAGGAGGAGCUACAGCUGUUCUGUGUUUCGUGAUAAACCAUCUGUUGCAGUGCAGAUGGGAUAUACAGCUCUUUACCAUGGGAUAUCCUGGUGCAACUGCAGGCACAGGGAGUUUGAGACAGAAUGUGCUCAGAAGAGCUGCUGAGGUCUUUGGAGAAGUAUAAAUCUUGUCAGUUCUCAUUGUAUAGAUGGGGAAUACUGUGGGCAAUGUUCUUACCUCUUGUAGUUUCCCAGGCUGAGUUAGGCUGAAAUGUCUGAAUCUGAAACUUCUGAAAAAAUGCUUUUGAGAAUUCAGACAGGUAUAUCUUUCCAAACCAGCACUGUCUUAGAGUGGACAGUGUUUUUCUGGUCACCUCUUAGAUUGGCAUGCUUGGGAUGAGAAGCAGAGUAUUCUCCUCAGUCUCACGUUUUACCACAUUCUCAUCUGAUUUUAGUUUGAGUUGCACUUUCCUGAAGGUGGAAACCAACGUGACAGAGCUUCCUCUGAUGUUGAAUCUAAUGCUCUCACUGACUCCAGUGCUUCAGCAUAAUGUACUGGUUAAUUCUGUAAGGCUUUUUACUUUUCUGUAGGGAUCUGAGGUUUUCUUGGUGAAAGUGUCAAUCCUUUUUUUCCCCCUUUUGAAAUCACAUCAUCUUGGGUGGAUGAGAACUGGGAAUUGCUGUGGUAGGCUGUGAUUGUCCUUUACCUGUCUGUCUUUUGUAUUUGAUCAAAUGAACAUAUAAUAAAGCUUCUCUUUUACUGGAA
Long non-coding RNA from Haemorhous mexicanus (house finch), 4259 nucleotides. RefSeq lists it as uncharacterized. Lineage: Eukaryota; Metazoa; Chordata; Aves; Passeriformes; Fringillidae. The transcript is spliced from 2 exons. The record is from RefSeq and is a predicted model, not a curated record.